RNAcentral lists this transfer RNA (27 nucleotides) under Phaethornis superciliosus (long-tailed hermit). RNAcentral's name for it is "partial tRNA-Leu". The record is from RNAcentral. Lineage: Eukaryota; Metazoa; Chordata; Aves; Apodiformes; Trochilidae.
CUUUUAAAGGAUAACAGCUAAUCCACU